Molecule: non-coding RNA, 1304 nt
Organism: Salmo salar (Atlantic salmon)
Lineage: Eukaryota; Metazoa; Chordata; Actinopteri; Salmoniformes; Salmonidae
Source: RefSeq, a predicted model, not a curated record
UACCCUCAUUCAAGCACUGCUGUGAUCCCUUUCCAAUUGUACACGCGAAGUGAAGAGUUCACCCGAACGUCCCCAGGCCCCACUUAUGGAGUGGAGUAUGGGUAAUGGCUUUUUUUCCCCCCAUACCACUUCUGAGGACACCCGUCAUCCAUCCUGCUACCCUCUCUCCUGAACGUAUUUCCCCAGAGCACCUGACAUACAAUUAAACACAUCGACUGCCCCACUGAAGCCUCUCCUCGUCAAGAACAUGAGCAGCCACUGCAGAUGGACCGCAACUCAGAGUUGGACUCCUGGGAGAACAUUUUGGGGCUGGAAGAUGGCUACCGCAACACGAGUGCUUUAACUUAAGCUCUAGCAUCCAAUUAGUUCCGCCACCUAUCGGACUGAAUAUUCUGAUGAUUGCACUGGUUCAGAGGCUAGUCUGUGUAGGUGCUUAAGAGGGAGUAUGCAUUCACAGAGGACCAUACUGUAGUUAUGUAAGUUCGCGGUUCUUUGCCUACUCCACCUCAGCAACAUUGACAGGGGCAAAGGGAGGGAUUGUAUGGGCAAUCAGACUGGCCCUGUAGCCAACCACUUGCUCAGCUGUACCAGGUCCUCAGUCACUCCCAGCAGCACUCUCCAGGGUAAUUUAUAAAGUUAAGUGCAAUGCUUUCAUCAAUUUCCCAGUUCUAAUUUCUAUCCAUUUACACCGUUAUGUAAUUAUCUCAGUUAAUAUAGAGGCACGGCUUUGUUUGUUUGUUUUCCCUCUUCUUCUUUGCACCGGUCUGAAUCUUCAUCUCUAGUAUAAACACAUACACCCUCAGUUGUUCAGAUGGGCCAACACUAGAUAAAGCUCAACCUCUGUAAACCCCCAGGGAGUCCAUGUGUCAGAUCAUUGUGGGACCUUUUGGUCAGAUCUGAUACAGCAGAGCAGCGACAGCGAGGAAUCCAAUGAUUCAGUUGAUUUUAUAUCUACCCUGAGUAGUUAUCAAUAAAAUAUGAAUAAUUCAGCAGAUUAGAAAUGGUUCUUUUUUUAUUUUUUUUAACAAGGAUGCAGUUCCAUGAUAAAAAAAAAAACAUAAUUCUCAAGAAGCAAAUGAUUUCUGGAAGACAUGAAAACCCCCAAGCGGAAAACAAUCCUAAUAUUUGUUCAUUUUGAUUGCUCUCGUUAUUUUUGCUCAAGGCCUGGCUUUGCUGGCCAAUAGUGAGUAUUUCUGUAGGAGGGGAUGUGGGUUGUUUACCAGAACCAUUUGCCAUGAAUAAACCCACAAAGAUGUGCUAAAAAUAAAAGGGAGGAAGCAAAAAUAUCCGUAGAAAGAUCAUUA